Molecule: long non-coding RNA, 666 nt
Filed under: Vigna radiata
Lineage: Eukaryota; Viridiplantae; Streptophyta; Magnoliopsida; Fabales; Fabaceae
Description: long non-coding RNA (VRAD_LNC016153)
Source: RNAcentral
AAACCCAAAAAUCCCCUAAAAACCCUAAAAACCCGAAAAUACCCCUUAAAAACCCUAAAAAUCCAAAAAUACCCUUAACAAACCCUAAAAACCCAAAGUUAAAAAAACACCCUAAAACUCAAAAAAUUCAACUUAAAAAUCCCAAAACCCCAAAAAUACCCCUUAGAAAUCAUAAAAACCCGAAAAUACCCCUUAAAUACUCUAAAAACUCAAAAAAACCACCUAAAAACCCUAAAAACCCAAAAAUACCACUAAGAAACCAUAAAAACCUAAAAAUUCCCCUUAAAAACCCAAAAACAGAAAAAUAUCCCUUAAAAACCCUAAAACCCCAAAAAUACCCCUUAAAAACCAUAAAAACCCCAAAAUACCCCUUAAAAACCUUAAAAAUAUGAAAAGACCCCUAAAAAAGGCUAAAACCCAAAAAUACCCAAAAAAACCCUAAAAAUCCAAAAUUUCCCCUUAAAAAUCCUAAAAACCAAAAAUAUCCCUUAAAAACCAUAAAAACCUAAAAAUGCCCCUUAAAAACCCUAAAAACAAAAAAAUAUCCCUUAAAAACCCUAAACACCCAAAAAUACCCAAAAAUAUCCCUUAAAAACCUUAAAAACCCAAAAAUACCCCUUAAAAACCCCAAAAACAGAAAAAUACCCCUUAAAAACCAUAAAANNN